CCGCGACCGCAGCAGCGGCUGAUUCUGACCGUUUAAAUAGUUAUUCUGAUACCAAUCAACCCCAUUGACCUUGGUCUCAGUACCCAUAUCUGCUGCUUUUGGAGCGUUGGAGGAGGAGGAGGAGGAGGAGAGCUAGAAUUGCAAUGAAAAAGAGAGAAACGCUUUUGGCCACGAAAAGCAAACCCUAGUAAACAGUUACUAUUACUAUUAUAAUAGCUACUAUUAGAGGCAAAUGAUGCUCAGGGCGUUAACCUGCGCCAAUCGCUUGCAUUGCUAUUUAGGGCCAAACAUAGUGAAAGUGAACAAGUGUAAGGCGUAAC
This 320-nucleotide unclassified non-coding RNA is filed under the name Hevea brasiliensis (rubber tree). The record is from RNAcentral. Lineage: Eukaryota; Viridiplantae; Streptophyta; Magnoliopsida; Malpighiales; Euphorbiaceae.